GACGAACGCUGGCGGCGUGCUUAACACAUGCAAGUCGAACGAUGACGACCGAGCUUGCUCGGUCUGAUUAGUGGCGAACGGGUGAGUAACACGUGAGCAACCUGCCCUUCACUCUGGGAUAACCUCGGGAAAUCGGGGCUAAUACCGGAUAUGAGCUCCUGUCGCAUGGCGGGGGUUGGAAAGUUUUUCGGUGAAGGAUGGGCUCGCGGCCUAUCAGUUUGUUGGUGAGGUAGUGGCUCACCAAGGCGAUGACGGGUAGCCGGCCUGAGAGGGCGACCGGCCACACUGGGACUGAGCCACGGCCCAGACUCCUACGGGAGGCAGCAGUGGGGAAUAUUGCACAAUGGGCGAAAGCCUGAUGCAGCGACGCCGCGUGAGGGAUGACGGCCUUCGGGUUGUAAACCUCUUUCAGCAGGGAAGAAGCGAAAGUGACGGUACCUGCAGAAGAAGCGCCGGCUAACUACGUG
This 467-nucleotide ribosomal RNA is filed under the name uncultured bacterium. Its description in RNAcentral is "partial 16S ribosomal RNA". It matches the Rfam family "Bacterial small subunit ribosomal RNA", at positions 28 to 507 of the family's 1533-position model. The record is from RNAcentral.